UCAAGAGUAAGAGCAGGGUCCGACUACGGACGAAAAUAAACGACAAAAGAAGAACGACGUCCAUCCUUGCUAUCCCAGGCUGCCGGCCUGGAACCCAUCCUAGAUCGAUGAAGAAGAAGAAGAAGAGGCAACUCCAAAUGAACAAUCAAUGCGCUCGCGUCAUGUAACCUUUACCUGAACCUGCAACUGGUGUUGUAGUAAUCUGUGAGCCACAGGGGACUCAGCAAUCUCAUUUCCAAAGGUAUCAAGACUAGCAAAGCUUAAUGGGUGAGGCAUGGUUAAAUGGUGAGGUUGCAGCAGCGACUAAGCAUAUAUUUGGUGGCUAACUUACGAGUACAAGAAAUAAGAGGGGGGAAGAUCUACGCAUAACGGACGUCACUACAGAUGAUCAAAAGAAUGAUCCUGAACACCUACCUACGUCAGACAUAACCCCACCGUGUCCUCAAUCGGAGAAGGAACUCACGAAAGAGACAAUCACAGUUACGCACACAGUUGGCAUGUUUUAAUUAAGUUAACUUCAAGUUAUCUAGAACCAGUGUUAAACAAAGCUUCCACGUUGCCACAUAACCGCGGGCACGGCUUUCCGAAAGAUUUAACCCUGCAGGGGUGCUCCAACUAGUCCAUCACAAAUUACCACAAGCCGCAUAGAAAUCCUCAAUCACGAAGCUCGCGAUCUCGUCGGAUUCCCUAGUGGAAAACCUCAACUCUGAGAUUACCCAAAGCAUCACCGGAAUCCCGAUGCACAAGAUAUCUCGUCAAAGGUAAAACUAAUCCAGCAAGGCCGCCCGACGUGUCGACGAUCCCGAUAGGAGUCGCGUACCUCGUUCUCAGGACACGGCGGAUGAGCUAGACGUCGGGAUCGCUAAACCUCCGGGUGACCAGAGGGGCGCCGGACAUCGCUCAGGUGGGGCCAACACUCAUGAGGAGCACUGGCCCGGGGGUUGAUUAAAUUAUCCUCGGGGUCCGAAAAGUCCCUAUGCAAUUUUAUUAGGUGUUUAGGCAAAUGUAGUACCAAAGUUGGGCCUUGCCAGACCAGCUUUAAUCUAAAACGAAUUAUCAAGGGGGUCCCCAUAACAACCCCGAUCGUGUUAGGAGCGCUCAUUUAUGGAACAUAACACCGGUAGCCGAAUCUAAGGGGGCAAAGGUGGAACAAAACACCAGGCUAGAAAGGCCGAGCCUUCCACCUUUUACCANUUAGAUAGCAUUUAAUAUGGUGAUAUAACAAGGAACCCAUGUUUUCACAUGGAAGCAGCUGCACCUGCAACUAGCAACGCUAUCAACAGGGUUAAGCAAGCAGUAACAUAGCCAAUCAGUGGUUUGCUAGGGUGAACAGGUUGAUGGUUUCAUGGCAUUGUAGAGAGGCUGAUAUUUAAUAGGUGGUAGGCAACGAGACGUAAACGAUAGCAACGGUAAAACUAGCAUGGCAAUGAUAGUAAUGGUAUCUGGGGAAAUGAUCAUCUUGCCUGAGAUCCCGCUUGGAAGAAGAAUGACUCCGUGAAGCAGACG
RNAcentral lists this long non-coding RNA (1506 nucleotides) under Hordeum vulgare. RNAcentral's name for it is "long non-coding RNA (HVUL_LNC007626)". The record is from RNAcentral. Lineage: Eukaryota; Viridiplantae; Streptophyta; Magnoliopsida; Poales; Poaceae.